Molecule: ribosomal RNA, 253 nt
Filed under: uncultured bacterium
Lineage: Bacteria
Description: partial 16S ribosomal RNA
Rfam family: Bacterial small subunit ribosomal RNA
Source: RNAcentral
UACGUAGGGUGCAAGCGUUAAUCGGAAUUACUGGGCGUAAAGCGUGCGCAGGCGGUCUUGCAAGACAGAUGUGAAAUCCCCGGGCUCAACCUGGGAACUGCAUUUGUGACUGCAAGGCUGGAGUACGGUAGAGGGGGAUGGAAUUCUGCGUGUAGCAGUGAAAUGCGUAGAUAUGCGGAGGAACACCGAUGGCGAAGGCAAUCCCCUGGACCUGUACUGACGCUCAUGCACGAAAGCGUGGGGAGCAAACAGG